GACGAACGCUGGCGGCGUGCUUAACAUAUGCAAGUCGAACGGAAAGGCCCUGCUUUUGUGGGGUGCUCGAGUGGCGAACGGGUGAGUAACACGUGAGUAACCUGCCCUUGACUUUGGGAUAACUUCAGGAAACUGGGGCUAAUACCGGAUAGGAGCUCCUGCUGCAUGGUGGGGGUUGGAAAGUUUCGGCGGUUGGGGAUGGACUCGCGGCUUAUCAGCUUGUUGGUGGGGUAGUGGCUUACCAAGGCUUUGACGGGUAGCCGGCCUGAGAGGGUGACCGGCCACAUUGGGACUGAGAUACGGCCCAGACUCCUACGGGAGGCAGCAGUGGGGAAUAUUGCACAAUGGGCGGAAGCCUGAUGCAGCAACGCCGCGUGCGGGAUGACGGCCUUCGGGUUGUAAACCGCUUUCGCCUGUGACGAAGCGUGAGUGACGGUAAUGGGUAAAGAAGCACCAGCUAACUACGU
This 467-nucleotide ribosomal RNA is filed under the name uncultured bacterium. RNAcentral's name for it is "partial 16S ribosomal RNA". It matches the Rfam family "Bacterial small subunit ribosomal RNA", at positions 28 to 506 of the family's 1533-position model. The record is from RNAcentral.